Coffea eugenioides is the source of this 457-nucleotide long non-coding RNA. RefSeq lists it as uncharacterized. NCBI's taxonomy places the organism in Eukaryota, Viridiplantae, Streptophyta, Magnoliopsida, Gentianales, Rubiaceae. The record is from RefSeq and is a predicted model, not a curated record. The transcript is spliced from 3 exons.
UCCUUCUCUCAGUUCUCUGUGCCGACUGUGCGACUUUCUUCUCUGUUCGAAGCCUAGCAAAAAAAUUCACUUUACCAAUCUACACCCUCACUCCGUUCGUCGCCGACGCCGUUGCUCGCCGCAUCUGUGAGACUCCAUCGCCAUCGCCAUCGCCAUCGCCUUAACAAGUCCCAAGUCCCAAGUCCCAAAUCGAAGCUGCUCUCUGCCUCUCCGGCCUCCGCCAGUCCGCCGCGCUGUACGUCUCCUGUCGGCUGUGUCCUGCCAUGCUGGUUCAUCGCUGCCGAGUGUCGAAGACGAAGCACCAAGAUCUCACUAGUUCAUCGCUGGUUCAUCACUGCUCAUCUCUGGCUCACUUAGUCGGGCAGAAUCUUUGUCAAGAAAAUGCAAAGUGGCACUAGACAUUCAACGAGUUGCUCAAGAUUAGAAGGCAAUGUCGAAGGAGUUGGUAUGGCAAUUA